This 730-nucleotide ribosomal RNA is filed under the name uncultured bacterium. RNAcentral's name for it is "bacterial SSU rRNA". It matches the Rfam family "Bacterial small subunit ribosomal RNA", at positions 103 to 858 of the family's 1533-position model. The record is from RNAcentral.
CGGCUGAGUAACGCCCAGCCUCCUGCCUGGGAUAGGGAGAGAACUCUUGGACACAAUCCCUAAUACCGCCUAUAUCUCAAGAUUGUGUGAUGUUGAGUGGAACUGCGCCACUGCAACAUUAACAUGUGGACCUGCAUUGAAUUGGCUAGGUGGCGAGGCAACGGCUCAACAAUGCGUCGAUAACCUGCCAACCUGAUAGGGUGAUCUGGCACUGUGGCACUGACACAACUCCCACACUCCGACGGGAGGCGGAAUCUUCGAAUCUGCAGCGAUGUCUGAACGUCUGACCCAGCGACGCCGCAUGAGGGUUUAAGGUUUUCGGAUCCUGUUGCUCUAUUGUAACAAAAGAGAGAGUGUAAAGGUGAAAAUGUCACGGUGUCUUAGCAAAUUAGCACAGCUGGACAGCUGCCUACGUGCCCGCAGCCACGGUGGUCCCUAGGUCCCUAGCGAUUUCCUGAUUUAUUGGCCGUCACACGCGCGCAGGCAGUUCUAUAAGUCUGAGCUGUGGCACAGUGGUAUUACCCUAUUGACACUUGGUAAACUGUUAUAGCUUGAGGGCAGAGUGGGAAUACCGUGAUGUCCCUGUGUAGUGCUGAGAUGCAUAGAUGUAUGGCAGGAGCACCAGUCGGCUCUGCUGGCUCUGCUAGCUCAGUAUCUAGACUCUGAAGCUCGAAGACCUAAGCGAGCAUAACAAUGACUCUAGUACCCUAGCUACGCCACCCCAGGAAUC